AUGAAAAGAAUAUUCAGGCAAAAGCACAUUGGCAAGAGAAAGUAGUAAGGUCAGGAGGGGUAACAAAUACCUAGCAUCCUCAAUCACUUUCUGAAACAAAUUGCUUGUUGGCAAUAGAACAAGUAGUAAGGUCAACAGUAUUUGCUAGCAGGAAUGGUAGAAAGUGCAGAUGUACCUAAGCACGGUGCAAUAGAAGCACACCAACCUAGAGGAUUAGAUCACCAAGCUCGGAGUUGAAAGAGUACAUCUUCUGGGUGGCGAGUUCGUGGUAUGUGUUGAUCUGUUUCUGGCAAGUUUUAAAAUACACAGCGUCAUCCACAGCUGUAUUAUUGAAAUCUGCAACCUUACUCUAACACAUCAAGCAAUGUCUUUUUACAUAUGCUCAUGAGCUCAUCAACCAACACAUCGCAGAGAGAAGAAAAGAAGAAAGGAAAUGUAGAAAAGAAACAUAGCUCACCUAUUAAUCUCAAUGGUUGCUGCGACCUCCCACUCCCCUAGCCAAGUGAUGCUUCUUCUUGUCCUUUAAAAGAAACAUACACCCCACAACAUGCUAAGUUAGAACAUCUUUA
This 569-nucleotide long non-coding RNA is filed under the name Setaria viridis. RNAcentral describes it as "long non-coding RNA (SVIR_LNC005856)". The record is from RNAcentral. Lineage: Eukaryota; Viridiplantae; Streptophyta; Magnoliopsida; Poales; Poaceae.